GACGUAGGAGGCGAGCGUUGUCCGGAGUUACUGGGCGUAAAGCGCACGCAGGCGGUCUCUUAAGUUUGGAGUGACAGUUGGUGGCUUAACUGCCAAAGUGCUUCGAAAACUGAGAGACUUGAGGGCUUCAGAGGGACACGGAAUUCCGGGUGGAGUGGUGAAAUGCGUAGAGAUCCGGAGGAACACCAAAGGCGAAGGCAGUGUCCUGGGGAGUACCUGACGCUCAGGUGCGAAAGCCAGGGGAGCGAACGGG
Molecule: ribosomal RNA, 253 nt
Filed under: uncultured bacterium
Lineage: Bacteria
Description: partial 16S ribosomal RNA
Rfam family: Bacterial small subunit ribosomal RNA
Source: RNAcentral